CUAAAUCUAUUAUCUGUUAAACGAAAUCUACCAAGUUGGAGAAGGAAAGCGACAGAGAGAAAGAAAAUGAGUUAUGCUACUCGAGUUUCGAGAGCGAGUAAUCAUCGAAGCAAUCCAAUUCACAGCCAGAGUAGAUUAGAAGGGAGUGAAUCAUAUUGUAUUUGUGGGUCGAAGGCUCGUUGAAUUUCUUAGAGCGAGAAGAACAUAGGUAGAAGAGUUUAUUCCUGCAGAUUCUUAAAGCUAAAUGUGAAUUUGUUCUUUUUGUUAAUCAACUUCUUUUGUCAUUGAUUCAACAAUAAGCAUAAUUCCAUACCCUUUUCAAUCUUCUUAAUCUUCCUUUUGUUAUUAAACAUUUAUUUAAAAAAUUUUGUGAUUUUCCAGCUAAAGGAAUGUGACUUGUUUGAAUGACAUGACCCAAAAAUAGACCCAGAGAGCUACAUAUAUGAUUAACCAGCUGAGUUCCAAUCAAAUCUAGAUCCUCCAUUCCCUAAGAACGAAGGUCUACCAUGCAGCAGAAGUUUGUUAUGUAAUCCUAAUUCAAGACCAUGGACAGGGAGAUGGAAUCACUGACAAUGGACGUAAGAGAACAAAAAGGAGUAUAAAAGGGCAAAGAAAAGGGAGUUCUGAUUGGUGUUUGCUUUGUGUUUUACAUUAGCUGUGUUGAUAAUCAUUUUGUUGUAUUGAAGCUUUUGUCUUUAGGAAUGUUAACAAAAUAUUGUAGUUAACAAAAAAUAAGCUUUUGUGGUAAGUUAACAAGAUUAGCUUUCAAUCGCUUAGGUUUAAGUUUGCUUUUCACGCA
This 799-nucleotide long non-coding RNA is filed under the name Jatropha curcas. RNAcentral describes it as "long non-coding RNA (JCUR_LNC002156)". The record is from RNAcentral. Lineage: Eukaryota; Viridiplantae; Streptophyta; Magnoliopsida; Malpighiales; Euphorbiaceae.